AACGCGAAGAACCUUACCUAGCCUUGACAUGCACUGGACAGGCGCUGAAAGGCGCUCUUCCCGCAAGGGACCGGUGCACAGGUGCUGCAUGGCUGUCGUCAGCUCGUGUCGUGAGAUGUUGCGUUAAGUCGCGCAACGAGCGCAACCCCUGUCCUUAGUUGCCACCAUUUAGUUGGGCACUCUAGGGAGACAAACCCUCUUUGAGGGUGGGAAGGUGGGGACGACGUCAAGUCAGGAUGGCCCUUACGGCUAGGGCUGCACACGUGCUACAAUGCCCGGCACAGAGGGACGCAAUACCGCAAGGUGGAGCAAAUCCUCAAAACCGGGCCCAGUUCAGAUUGUAGUCUGCAACUCGACUACAUGAAGUUGGAAUCGCUAGUAAUGGCGUAUCAGCUACGACGCCGUGAAUACGUUCCCGGGCCUUGUA
This 427-nucleotide ribosomal RNA is filed under the name uncultured Verrucomicrobiota bacterium. RNAcentral describes it as "bacterial SSU rRNA". It matches the Rfam family "Bacterial small subunit ribosomal RNA", at positions 958 to 1385 of the family's 1533-position model. The record is from RNAcentral. Lineage: Bacteria; Pseudomonadati; Verrucomicrobiota.